AUUGAACGCUGGCGGCAUGCUUUACACAUGCAAGUCGAACGGUAACAGGCCGCAAGGUCCUGACGCGUGGCGAACGGGUGAGUAAUGCAUCGGAACGUGCCCAGACGUGGGCUGUAACUACUCGAAAGAGUAGCUAAUACCGCAUACGAACUAUGGAUGAAAGCGGGGGACCGUAAGGCCUCUCGCGAUUGGAGCGGCCGAUGUCAGAUUAGGUAGUUGGUGGGGUAAAGGCUCACCAAGCCAACGAUCUGUAGCUGGUCUGAGAGGACGACCAGCCACACUGGAACGGGAAAACGGCCAAGACUCCUACGGGAGGAAGAAGAGGGAAAUUUUGGACAAUGGGCGAAAGCCUGAUCCAGCAAUGCCGCGUGCAGGAAGAGGUCCUUCGGGUUGUAAACUGCUUUUGUACGGAACGAAACGGCUCUGGUUAAUACCCGGGGCUAAUGACGGUACCGUAAGAAUAAGCACCGGCUAACUACGUG
This 482-nucleotide ribosomal RNA is filed under the name uncultured bacterium. RNAcentral's name for it is "partial 16S ribosomal RNA". It matches the Rfam family "Bacterial small subunit ribosomal RNA", at positions 30 to 507 of the family's 1533-position model. The record is from RNAcentral.